Molecule: non-coding RNA, 411 nt
Organism: Phascolarctos cinereus (koala)
Lineage: Eukaryota; Metazoa; Chordata; Mammalia; Diprotodontia; Phascolarctidae
Source: RefSeq, a predicted model, not a curated record
GAGCCGGGGCCGGAGCCAGGGCUGGGAAGGCAGGCCGUAUCCGAGAGGCGCCCCUUCCAUCCUGCCUGCAUACCCCGCAUCCUGCCACAUCUCCCCGGUUACCCCCUCCGCAUCCUCCCGCUGGUCCAGGCUCAAACGCAGGGCCCCGCGGCCCUAGGGCUUUAGGGGGCAGAAUGACGGAAGAGAGAGAAGGCUCAGUCUCGCCGAUUGAUGUUUUCGAUUUAGAGAAAGAAAAGCCGCCUGGGCCAGGCUUGGUGGAAGACUAUGGGUUUGGAAGGCAGCAUGCACCAUCAGAUUCUGCUGAUUUGUUAGUUUUGCUGAAUUCAUUUCUCCUUUAAUAGUGCUUUUUACAAGUCUAGAUUGUCUGUCGAAGGGAGAAUGGGAGGGAUCUAUCUGGAAAUGAAGGUGAUG